UCUCUGUGUGUGUGUGUGUGUGUGUGUGUGUGUGUGUGUGUGUGUGUCUGUGUGUGUGUGUGUGUGUGUGUGUGUGUGUGAUGCAUGUGAGUUCUGACUUCACCUGUUCUGUGUGGUCUUCUUUUACCAUGGUGUUCACAUGAUCCAGUGAACAACUAUCCAGGUUACUCAGCCAGGUAGUAAAUGUAUGAACACACAAAACAACACAAUCGUCUGAAAUGUUUAAUGGGACUAGAAAUAAUAGGCUUUCAAGAGUUGGCAUGUUAGUGGCAUUUGCAGAUAUUGUGGGAUUUCAACAGCUGGGAGAGGAGCAAAAUGGACUUAAUUUCCUAUUUAUUGCCUUCGUACUGUUUUCUUGGUAGUUUCUGGACUGAUGCAGUGAUGUUCUGUUCCUUCCGUAUUUAUAACGAAACACUUUUUUAGCGUUUCUAAACAUAGAAUCUACUUGGUUUGAAAUCAAGUGGUUGGAACACUGUCUGGAUUUGUACCUUAAGCAUGCUGUUGAUUGAAUGCUUCAUUGGGGAAGCCUCCAAUCAGCUUUAUCAGUCUGGUUGUGUGAUGAGCACAGCACCUAAUGUUUUGAACUGCUAUUUGGAGGACCAGUGCUUAUUUAAGCUGGAUUUUGUAACCCACUAGAUUUUGUUGGUUUGAGGUCUCAUUCCCUGAUCUUACAGAAUUACAAAUUCUAAUGUUGAAAUUUGCAGAGGUUCUCGUGGAAAAGCCUAGAAGACCAACAGUAGAUUGAACAGUGAUCCUUGCAGGAGGGGAAGUAUGGGUGCCAUGAUUUCUUUUCAUUGGUGUUGGGCUUUGAAUCAGUUGAAAUGUAUUUCUGUACCACAAUGUAAGCUUCAAUAAAAGUUUGCUUAAUUGUCUAGUAA
Non-coding RNA from Peromyscus maniculatus bairdii (prairie deer mouse), 878 nucleotides. The record is from RefSeq and is a predicted model, not a curated record. Lineage: Eukaryota; Metazoa; Chordata; Mammalia; Rodentia; Cricetidae.